Molecule: ribosomal RNA, 399 nt
Filed under: uncultured bacterium
Lineage: Bacteria
Description: bacterial SSU rRNA
Rfam family: Bacterial small subunit ribosomal RNA
Source: RNAcentral
UGCGUAACGCGUAAGUAACUUGCCCAAGGUAAGGAAUAACGUCGAGAAAUCGGCGCUAAUACCGUCAUAAUGCAGCGGAUCCGCGUGGAUAUGUUGUUAAAGGUUACGCCUUGGGAUAGGCUUGCGUCUGACUAGCUAGUUGGUGUGGUAAUGGCACACCAAGGCUACGAUCAGUAACUGGUCUGAGAGGAUGAUCAGUCACACUGGAACUGAGACACGGUCCAGACUCCUACGGGAGGCAGCAGUGAGGAAUAUUGGGCAAUGCACGAAAGUGUGACCCAGCAACGCCGCGUGGAGGAUGAAGGUAUUCUAUAUCGUAAACUCCUGUGAGAGCAGACGAAAGACAGAUUAUUAAUUUGGAUGACUGUAUGCUCAGAGGAAGCCCCGGCUAACUACGUG